UCGGAUAUGGUGUACGGUACACCGCCUCCUCUCUUGAUUCGGAGUUUUAGAAGUUAAGCGAGGCAGACCGGGGUUCGACUCCCCGUGUCCGAC
Mycena latifolia is the source of this 93-nucleotide non-coding RNA. NCBI's taxonomy places the organism in Eukaryota, Fungi, Basidiomycota, Agaricomycetes, Agaricales, Mycenaceae. The record is from the annotation of a GenBank genome assembly.